UCGAACGAUGAAGCAUUCUUCGGAAUGCGGAAGAGUGGCGAACGGGUGAGGAACACGUAAGAAUCUGCCCCUCGGUCGGGGACAACUCUUGGAAACGAGAGCUAAUACCCGAUACGCUGUGGAGUGAAAGAAUUUCGCCGAGGGAUGAUCUUGCGUCUGAUUAGCUAGUUGGUGUGGUAAAGGCAUACCAAGGCGACGAUCAGUAGCUGGUCUGAGAGGAUGAUCAGCCACAUUGGGACUGAGACACGGUCCAGACUCC
This 259-nucleotide ribosomal RNA is filed under the name unidentified marine bacterioplankton. RNAcentral describes it as "partial 16S ribosomal RNA". It matches the Rfam family "Bacterial small subunit ribosomal RNA", at positions 62 to 339 of the family's 1533-position model. The record is from RNAcentral.